Molecule: non-coding RNA, 225 nt
Organism: Nothobranchius furzeri (turquoise killifish)
Lineage: Eukaryota; Metazoa; Chordata; Actinopteri; Cyprinodontiformes; Nothobranchiidae
Source: RefSeq, a predicted model, not a curated record
UGCAACGGCAGCGGAUGUCGAAACCAGCCUAAGUUUGCCAGCCAGCCCUCGUCUGAUUUUGAGUGGCAAUGAGCAAAAACUGAGUGGAUGGAUGGUCAGUGCUGAAGGCCAUGUCAUCUUUGAGGGGGUCCUGCCAACAUUUUCAACAGGGCUUGCAGCGGUGUUUGCCACAUUUUACAUCUUCAACCUGCAAUAUCAAGAUGAGGCAGCAAAGACUUUGGAGUU